Molecule: ribosomal RNA, 253 nt
Filed under: uncultured bacterium
Lineage: Bacteria
Description: partial 16S ribosomal RNA
Rfam family: Bacterial small subunit ribosomal RNA
Source: RNAcentral
UACGUAGGGUGCAAGCGUUGUCCGGAAUUAUUGGGCGUAAAGAGCUCGUAAGCGGUUUGUCGCGUCUGCUGUGAAAACUCGGGGCUCAACUCCGAGCUUGCAGUGGGUACGGGCAGACUAGAGUGCGGUAGGGGAGACUGGAAUUCCUGGUGUAGCGGUGGAAUGCGCAGAUAUCAGGAGGAACACCGGUGGCGAAGGCGGGUCUCUGGGCCGUAACUGACGCUGAGGAGCGAAAGCAUGGGGAGCGAACAGG